CACCAUGGUGACUUGCAAGCAACUCACUAUACUUUGGUGCUGGACUAUCUGAAUUUCUAAUUCAGGAUCAAAAAAAUUUUGGGUACAAUCAAGUACUUGUGAAGUCGGUACGUGAGUCAAGAUGGAAUUGACCACUCUAAGAGAUUGGGGAGAAUACUUUGUGUUUCAAUUUAGCAAGACCUUAGCCAAAGCAAUCCUUGUGAGGAGUCACAAAAUUUA
This 219-nucleotide long non-coding RNA is filed under the name Elaeis guineensis (African oil palm). Its description in RNAcentral is "long non-coding RNA (EGUI_LNC064201)". The record is from RNAcentral. Lineage: Eukaryota; Viridiplantae; Streptophyta; Magnoliopsida; Arecales; Arecaceae.